GGGGCAGACCUGGCACGCGCCGAGCCGCCGCUGCCGCUGCUGCUGCCCUCCCGCCGCGGGGCCUGGCCCGCGCUCGUCCCCAGCGCCCGCCAUGCCGCGGCUUCCUUGGAGCUCGAGCGGCGGGGACUGGGGCACGAAAGCAGGGCGUCGUGGACAUGCAGGAGGCAUGGAGGAUCUCUGGCAGUUCAAGACCACUCUGUGCUACAAAAUGAGUUCAAAGGCAGUCUAAACUGCAUAGUGAAACCCUGUCUCAAAAAGACAAAAAAAUAAAUACUAUCUUAUUUUUUACAAAUAAAGUAUGAAUGGUGUGCAAUGUGUUUUAAAAUAUAUAUAUAUAUACAUUGUGGAAUGGCCAACCCAAGCUACUUAAAACAUACACCACCUUUGUUUUUUGUUUUUAAUAACGUCUCAUCAGGGGCUGGGGAUUUAGCUCAGCGGCAUAAGCGCCAGCCUUGGAAGCGCAUGGUCGUGAGUGUGAUCCCCGGUACCGAUUAAAAAAAUAACGUCUCAUCCAUUUAGGAUCAACAAAAAUUCCGUGAGAAUACAACCUUUCCUUAGCCUUCUAAUCGCGUUCAAUGCUGAGGGGGAAAAAAUAGCCUUAAUGACCUCUUCAAAAUAUAAUCUCUAGUCUGUACGUGCUAACAGCCUGCCAGCACCCUGGGCAGACCAGCUGAACCCUGUCUACGGAAGUAGUCGGACCUCGGAAGUGAGUGAGUGAAGGCGCGCAGCAUUCUGGGAACAGUUACGGAAGCCUAGUUGACGCUGUGGCUGUUACCACGGCAAUGGAAGCGAAUACAGGUUAUUGGCAGUUUGGAGUCUUUAGCCCGAAAGGUGAAGAUGCUCGCAAAGCUUUGGGGGUACUCGAAAAGAUCAUAAAGGCUCUUCUAAAAGAAGAUCGUUCUAUCAGGAAGUUUUGCAGGCGUGCUCCGUAGCUGGAGCAGUGAACAUGGGAAUCUGGGUCUCGCGCCCUUGUUCCUGGAUCUUAAAGUGCAACCCAGUGGCACCUCACUGUUGCUUCUCUAGCUUUCUACCACCUUCUGGAAAGUGUAGCCGUGAAUGGUGAUGCACAUCUAUAAUACUAGCACUAGGGAGGCUGAAGACAGGAGAAUCAGUGCAAAUUUGAGGCCAGCCUCAGCUACAGAGUAAGUUCAAGGCCAGUCUGAACUGAAUAGUGGAAGCCUGUCAAAAAAGACAAAAAAAACACAAUUGCUACCUUGGAAACUUGCCCACAACCCCUCGUGACAUUGUAUCCUGAUCUAAGUAAACUCUUGGCUUUAUUUUUACUCUGCUUUUGGUUCUUCAUGACUGACAAGUUACACAUGUUUUCCAGCCAGCCUGUCACGCCUGAAUCUCCUGCCUCAGUUCUCCUAGUUGUCUUUUGAAUUGUUUUACAUUUAGACUGCAUUCGUACAUUAAAAUUUGCUUAUUUGCCUUUUCAAUCUCUA
This is a long non-coding RNA of Cavia porcellus (domestic guinea pig), 1445 nucleotides long. RefSeq lists it as uncharacterized. Lineage: Eukaryota; Metazoa; Chordata; Mammalia; Rodentia; Caviidae. The transcript is spliced from 4 exons. The record is from RefSeq and is a predicted model, not a curated record.